UUCGAUGAUGAUUUACUUUUUAUUUAAUCACGACGGUCAACAUAAUCAUUUUCAUUGAUGACCACUGCCUGUGACAGGGCAUUUAUCUGACA
Molecule: small nucleolar RNA, 92 nt
Filed under: Aspergillus cristatus
Lineage: Eukaryota; Fungi; Ascomycota; Eurotiomycetes; Eurotiales; Aspergillaceae
Description: Small nucleolar RNA snR73
Rfam family: Small nucleolar RNA snR73
Source: Rfam by way of RNAcentral